GAUGAACGCUGGCGGCGUGCCUAAUACAUGCAAGUCGAGCGAACGGACGAGAAGCUUGCUUCUCUGAUGUUAGCGGCGGACGGGUGAGUAACACGUGGAUAACCUACCUAUAAGACUGGGAUAACUUCGGGAAACCGGAGCUAAUACCGGAUAAUAUGUUGAACCGCAUGGUUCAAAAGUGAAAGACGGUCUUGCUGUCACUUAUAGAUGGAUCCGCGCUGCAUUAGCUAGUUGGUAAGGUAACGGCUUACCAAGGCAACGAUGCAUAGCCGACCUGAGAGGGUGAUCGGCCACGCUGGAACUGAUACACGCUCCAGACUCCUACGGUAGGCAGCAGUAGGGAUUCUUCCGCAAUGGGCGAAAGCCUGACGGAGCAGCGCCGCGUGAGUGAUGAAGGUCUUCCGAUCGUAAAGCUCUGUUAUUAGGGAAGAUCAUAUGUGUAAGUAACUGUGCACAUCUUGCCGGUACCUAAUCAGAAAGCCCCGGCUAACUACGUG
Molecule: ribosomal RNA, 497 nt
Filed under: uncultured bacterium
Lineage: Bacteria
Description: partial 16S ribosomal RNA
Rfam family: Bacterial small subunit ribosomal RNA
Source: RNAcentral